CCUACGUCGGCCUAGCAGGCGAGCUAAGUAGGUUGCUAGCGGCUAACUCAAGGAGGACCGAAUCGACCCACACCCUACAAGCAACCUCGUGUGUUCAUGAUUAGGAGACGCAGUAUGGGAAAAGAGCUCAACCUGCAGAGAAUUUGGAGGUGGAAGACCCAAUCCCAGCAAAAAGUGGUGACACCUCGGUGACAUACACGGGACUUCCAUGUGGAAUGAGUUGGUUUUGUGCCCUUAAUGACACAGACUGACAACAGGAGUCUCAGAAGAUCCAGGGGACUCCACUUGGUUUUUUGAGUUAUUUUCCUAGUAAAUAAAAGGCUAGACAUUUUUUUUUUAUUUUUUUUUAAAUGAUUUUUAUUUUCUUUUUAAUAGCAGCUUUUUUUUUGAAAACAAAUCCCAGCUGGACUUUAGUUUGAUGUUAAACGGCUUCCCACAACUGGUUUAAAACUGAAUUUGUUUGUUUAGUUGUUUUCCCCUGUGGACUAAGUUUGAAAUGCUGGAACUCUCCCUCCUGCCACUAUCCUCAGUUUCUUCCACCCACCCAGUGCCUAAAUAAGCCUUCUCGGGAGGAUCACAGAAGUCAUCAGCAGCUGCUGCGCUCAAUCCUCUGCCUGUUCUCCUCCAUGUGCUUCUGCUCUCGGCCUGUUGACUGUACACCCACUACCUCUUUAAUUUUUCUGGUCUUUUCAUUUUCACUGAGCGGGAUAAUCAGAACUGAAGCCCAGUGAUGGAGCAUUAAUGUAAACCCUGAGCUGUUCCAGUGUUUUGUGCGUGAGUGCUGGUCCUUUCGCGUAUAUGCACAGCAGUGUUACGUUUGCACUGGUGCCAGGGAGUAACAGUAGAAGAUUAGAUUUAUUUAUAUUGUUGCACCAAAUACAGUUCCAUUAAAGCCAUACAAAAAUAUUUAUGAAUUACCUAUACAUAUUUUUGUAUCACACUGCUCUUGUAUAGUUUUGCUUUUAUAAGCUUCUAUUAAGAUUAUGCACACAAAUAUUUA
This is a long non-coding RNA of Astatotilapia calliptera (eastern happy), 1000 nucleotides long. The record is from Ensembl. NCBI's taxonomy places the organism in Eukaryota, Metazoa, Chordata, Actinopteri, Cichliformes, Cichlidae.